GGACAUUUGGAUUGUUUCCAGUUUGGGGCUAUUAUGAAUAAUGCUACUAUGAACAGCUGCAUACAAGUCUUUGUGUGGAUAUAUGUUUCAUUUCUCUUGGUGGGUUCUACGAGUAAAAUAGACGGUCCUCUUUUUAAAUGUCCAUCAACUGAUGAUCACUCAGACUGCUAUAAGGAAAUGGAGGUAAAAGUGGAAGUGGAUUACUCAGGAAGCGACAAUGAUAAUCCAGAUAAAGGUCAUGUGAUCACAGAGGGAGACAGCAGCUGCCUACAAGCCCAGAGAAGAGGCCUCAGAAUGAAACCUAUCUUGCCAACACUUUGAUCUUGGACUUCUCAGCCUCUAGAACUGUGAG
Lagenorhynchus albirostris (white-beaked dolphin) is the source of this 352-nucleotide long non-coding RNA. RefSeq lists it as uncharacterized. The record is from RefSeq and is a predicted model, not a curated record. Lineage: Eukaryota; Metazoa; Chordata; Mammalia; Artiodactyla; Delphinidae. The transcript is spliced from 3 exons.